Molecule: ribosomal RNA, 449 nt
Filed under: Streptomyces sp.
Lineage: Bacteria; Bacillati; Actinomycetota; Actinomycetes; Kitasatosporales; Streptomycetaceae
Description: bacterial SSU rRNA
Rfam family: Bacterial small subunit ribosomal RNA
Source: RNAcentral
ACCGGAAACGUCUGGAGACAGGCGCCCCCUUGUGGUCGGUGUACAGGUGGUGCAUGGCUGUCGUCAGCUCGUGUCGUGAGAUGUUGGGUUAAGUCCCGCAACGAGCGCAACCCUUGUCCUGUGUUGCCAGCAUGCCCUUCGGGGUGAUGGGGACUCACAGGAGACCGCCGGGGUCAACUCGGAGGAAGGUGGGGACGACGUCAAGUCAUCAUGCCCCUUAUGUCUUGGGCUGCACACGUGCUACAAUGGCCGGUACAAUGAGCUGCGAUACCGUGAGGUGGAGCGAAUCUCAAAAAGCCGGUCUCAGUUCGGAUUGGGGUCUGCAACUCGACCCCAUGAAGUCGGAGUCGCUAGUAAUCGCAGAUCAGCAUUGCUGCGGUGAAUACGUUCCCGGGCCUUGUACACACCGCCCGUCACGUCACGAAAGUCGGUAACACCCGAAGCCGGUG